RNAcentral lists this long non-coding RNA (1688 nucleotides) under Salvia miltiorrhiza (redroot sage). Its description in RNAcentral is "long non-coding RNA (SMIL_LNC007385)". Lineage: Eukaryota; Viridiplantae; Streptophyta; Magnoliopsida; Lamiales; Lamiaceae. The record is from RNAcentral.
GAAUCGCGCCGCCAUAAUUUGGGUAAGAAUUUCUUUCAAUUUCUCCAUUUAUUCUCUACAUUACCCCAUUUGGUUAGACAUUUUUUCACCAAUCCCAGAUUUGAUUUUAUUUCAGGAGAAAGGUGCGAAUGAAGCCGCACCCUUUGUAAUUGAUUUCACGAAUUUUUUUUUAGUUGUUUGGUCAAGAUGAAGCAAUACUCUGUUGCUCUUCAUCUGUUUGACCGAGCUGCUUCUGUAGAUCUCUACACCUCAAGUGUUGCGAUUAAUUGCUUUUGCCGUCUGAAAAUAGCUGAUUUGGGGUUUGCAAUCUUAGGCAGUUUUUGCAAGCGUGGGUUCGAUGAGUCUACUGUGGUAAAAUGUAGCGCCCUAAUCAAUGGGCUUUUGUUGGGAGUCAUGAAAAUUGUUGAAGAAGUUGUUAGUUGAGGAACUGUGUGAGCCAAAUGAAGUUAUUUAUCUUAGUUUGAUCGAUGAGUAUGCAAAGUUGAACAUACUCUCGAGCAAUGAUUGAUAGUCCAUGGAUAGUCUAUGCAAGGAUGGAAUGUCCUUUCAUUGUUUUUUAUCAUGGGUGAUAAGGGCAUUUUACGAGUUUGAUCAUUCAUGGAUGACUCUUUCAUUGAUGGAUUGUACAAUUUUUAGUUGAUAGGAACGAGGCUCAAGACAUUUUGAAAAUGAUCUUUAGCCGAUGGAACGAGGCGGAAGACAUGUUAAAGAUGAUCUUUAGUAGAUGGAACGAGGCUGAACACAUUUUAAAAAAGUUGGUGGUGGAGUGAGAUUGAAGGCAUGUUAAUUUUUUUAGUUGAUAUGAUAUGUUGAAGAAGAUGAUGGGUGACGAGGAUUAUUUCAAAGAGUCUUAGUUGAUACGAAGAUUACGUUUAUUGCAAAGAGUGUUAGAAGAUGGUGGCCGUUGAUGUUUAUUUUGCAAAGAGUCUUGUCUCAUGGUAAGAGUGGGGUGAUGUUUCUUACUAUAAUACAAUUGCUACAUGUAUAUUUUGUGAAUGCCGAUGUGAAGUUGACUUGAAUCUAUUCAUAUUUUGUGAAUAUAUUUUGUGAAUGCCGAUGUGAAGUUGACUUGAAUCUAUUCAUAUUUUGUGAAUACAGAUGUGAAGAUGGGUUGAAUUGAUGUAUAAUGUUUUUGUUGAAGGUCUUUUAAGAAGUAACAAGAUGUUAGAUCCAAUGCCAGUCUAGAAAGAGAUGAAUUCAAGGAGCUUCAUACUUGAUGCCACUACAUUUUGAGUUCGAGGGUUUUUUAGGACAGUAACUUAGAUUGAUUUGAAAAUUUAGACAAUAACUUUCAGACUUGUAAAAAUAGGACACUAAUUAUUUUUUAGAGUAAAAUAGGACACUAAUUAAUAAGUGUCGUAAAAAUAGGACAUUUCUCAGCCGAUAAUUGGCUAAAAAAUGUCCUACGGAUGCAACACUUAUUAAUUAGUAUCCUGUUUUACUCUAAAAAAAAUUAGUGUCCUAUUUUUACAAGUUCGAAAGUUAUUGUCCUAAUUUUCAAAUCAAUCUAAGUUAAUGUCCUAAAACAUCCCCGACUCCUACAUUUUCAGUGUUGUUUCAACAUUUAGAAACAGAGGAUCAAUGUAGUGUUCUUUUUUGUUAAGGUUUAGAAACUUGUAGCAAAUGAUAUGUAAUCUAUAGUCUACAAUUUAUAAUCAUCAAUUUUGAAUCUUGAUCCACAACAGUGG